ACUGUUAACCUUGAGUAUGGUAGAGGCAAGUGGAAUUUCUAGUGUAGCGGUUAAAUGCGUAGAUAUUAGAAGGAACAUCAGUGGCGAAGGCGACUUGCUGGGCCAACACUGACGCUGAGGCACGAAAGCGUGGGGAGCAAAUAGGAUUAGAUACCCUAGUAGUCCACGCCGUAAACGAUGGAUACUAAGUGUCGGGCAACCGGUGCUGAAGUAAACACAUUAAGUAUCCCACCUGAGUAGUACGGUCGCAAGGCUGAAACUCAAAGGAAUUGACGGGCACCCGCACAAGCGGUGGAGCAUGCUGUUUAAUUCGAAGCUACGCGAAGAACCUUACCUGGGCUUGACAUCCCUUUGACCGGACCUAGAAAUAGGACCUUUCUUCUUCGGAAGACAAAGGAGACAGGUGGUACAUGGUUGUCGUCAGCUCGUGUCGUGAGAUGUUCGGUUAAGUCCGAUAACGAGCGCAACCCUUGUCCUUAAUUGCUAACAGUAAGAUGAGAACCUUAAGGAGACUGCCGGUGAUAAACCGGAGGAAGAUGGGGAUGACGUCAAAUCAUCAUGCCCCUUACGUCCAGGGCUACAGGCGUGCUAUAAUGGCCGGUAUAAAAAGAAGCAAAACUGUGAAGUGGAGCAAAUCUCGAAAGCCGGUCUCAGUACGGAUUGGAGUCUGCAACUCGACUCCAUGAAGCCAGAAUCGCUAGUAAUCCCGAAUCAGAAUGUCGGGGUGAAUACGUUCCCGGGUGUUGUACACACCGCCCGUCACGCCAUGGGAGUCAAUAAUACCCGAAGCUGGUAGCCUAACCGAGCAAUCGGAGGGGGCCAUCGAAGGUAGGAUUGGUGACUGGGGUGAAGUCGUAACAAAGGUAGCCGUAAGCC
This 876-nucleotide ribosomal RNA is filed under the name uncultured bacterium. RNAcentral's name for it is "bacterial SSU rRNA". It matches the Rfam family "Bacterial small subunit ribosomal RNA", at positions 632 to 1508 of the family's 1533-position model. The record is from RNAcentral.